GACUCUCUUGGCGGGGAGCGGCGGCCGCU
This 29-nucleotide small RNA is filed under the name Bombyx mori (domestic silkworm). RNAcentral describes it as "ovarian small RNA-15626". The record is from RNAcentral. Lineage: Eukaryota; Metazoa; Arthropoda; Insecta; Lepidoptera; Bombycidae.